CAGUAGCCGCGGGAAAACGUAGGGUGCGAGCGUUAAUCGGAAUUACUGGGCGUAAAGCGUGCGCAGGCGGUGCUGCAAGACCGAUGUGAAAGCCCCGGGCUUAACCUGGGAACUGCAUUGGUGACUGCAGCGCUGGAGUAUGGCAGAGGGGGGUGGAAUUCCACGUGUAGCAGUGAAAUGCGUAGAGAUGUGGAGGAACACCGAUGGCGAAGGCAGCCCCCUGGGCCAAUACUGACGCUCAUGCACGAAAGCGUGGGGAGCAAACAGGAUUAGAUACCCCAGUAGUCACUGUCUCUUAUAC
RNAcentral lists this ribosomal RNA (301 nucleotides) under uncultured bacterium. RNAcentral describes it as "partial 16S ribosomal RNA". It matches the Rfam family "Bacterial small subunit ribosomal RNA", at positions 509 to 807 of the family's 1533-position model. The record is from RNAcentral.